RNAcentral lists this ribosomal RNA (253 nucleotides) under uncultured bacterium. Its description in RNAcentral is "partial 16S ribosomal RNA". It matches the Rfam family "Bacterial small subunit ribosomal RNA", at positions 79 to 334 of the family's 1533-position model. The record is from RNAcentral.
CCCAAAAGCUGGCGACUGGCGCACGGGUGAGUAACACGUAUCCAACCUGCCUCAUACUCGGGGAUAGCCUUUCGAAAGAAAGAUUAAUAUCCGAUAGCAUAUAUUUCCCGCAUGGGUUUUAUAUUAAAGAAAUUCGGUAUGAGAUGGGGAUGCGUUCCAUUAGUUUGUUGGGGGGGUAACGGCCCACCAAGACUACGAUGGAUAGGGGUUCUGAGAGGAAGGUCCCCCACAUUGGAACUGAGACACGGUCCAA